Molecule: long non-coding RNA, 1682 nt
Organism: Quercus robur (English oak)
Lineage: Eukaryota; Viridiplantae; Streptophyta; Magnoliopsida; Fagales; Fagaceae
Exons: 3
Source: RefSeq, a predicted model, not a curated record
CCCCAGCUUGUGUCACGGUUUCAAAUACCCUUCUGUCUCCUCACCUUUUGGUUUACUGUGUUUCACGAUUCUGUCUCCCCACCUUUUAAACGGCAACCCUUCAUCAGUGUUAAUUUUUCAGUGGUUUCAAUUCCUCAACGGCAACCCUUUAGCUUUUGCUAACGCCAGCCUAUAACAUCAGUCUCUUUGUCUUCCCUCCUUUGUCUCUUCCUCUCCUCACAAUUUAUUAAUACUGACAAAAAAGUGGAUGAUUCAAUUCAGGUAUUUGUGCUCUAUUCUUGUGACUGCCCCGCAUAAUUAUUCAAUCUGCAAAUGAUCGAAAUUCAAGAGCUGCAUGUGAUGACAAACCAAAUAAGAGAAGCUCCAGAUUUGUUUGCGUAAUGGUAAUACAAAAACAAUGUGGGUUAUUUGAUUAUUAUCCAGUUGGGGAGAGGUAAUAAAUUUUUUUACUUGCAAACAAGUUCAAGUAUUUAAAUUUCUCCUUCUGCCCAAGUCAUUAUUUUCUUUCUCAGCAUAACACAAUGCAAGACUAAUGCAAUGAUAUAUUUUUCUAGCUUAGAUUAUUGGGAGAAUUUAUGUGAAACAAUCUUGGACAAUAUUAAGGGUCUACUUAGAUCCUUAGGAAGUUUUAGGAAACAUAUGCAUAAUUUUUUAGAUUUGUAAAAUUUUCAUUUGCCCAAACUCAAACACUCAAAAACACCUCAUACAGUCUAAGUUUCAUAGACUUCAAAAAAUCUUUUUUUACAAAUUCCUGAUGCAAUAAGCUAUUCUUGGUAUAAAGUAUGCAUAAUAAAAGAACACCAAAAUCUACUUAAAAUUCUGCAGGGCAAGGAUUUUGUUAUUAUAAAGAAAACAAACUUUUCCCUAUCCUAGCUGCCUUGACUAAGUUAAGUAGGAAGUAUCUUAUUCUUUUUUCCUUUUCCCAUCUUGGAUUUGUUCAUUUCGCAUGAUAAGUAAUGUCUGUAAUUCUGUUUAUCAAAAGCAAAAAUAAAAAAUAAAUAAAAAAUAAAUAAAAAUGUCUCUAAUUCCACUGUUUUACUAUUUCAUUUUUCCAUCUACUCUACUCAAUAGAGUGGAGAGUGACCCCAUUUACGAUGACUCAAUUCUUGAUAGAGUCUUAUGCAGGAAUUGGAGUCUCAAUUCUAAUAUCCCUUAAGUCCAAGUAAUGGAAUGGAUUGGAUUCAUCUGUAUAGUUUUGUACAGGUGAUUUUGCUAUAAUUUGGGUUCUCCUUUGCUAUAACAGUACCAGUCUUUGUGUUGUAUAUGGAGGUUGGAGGUUGCAGCAAUAUGCUGUACAGAAUGAUGCAUAGCUUGCUCUACUGUUUGGUUGUUUGGCUUGUGCCAGUAUUUUUCUUUUGGUAGAUAGGGAUUAAUUUAAAGAUUUUGAGUUUAUUUACGUUGCAUGCAUCAUGUGAGCCUAGAUUUUUGGGUUGGGUCUUCUCCUAUGUGAUUUCAAUGAACAUGUAGUGUAAGAGUAUAACUUUUGCUGUCAUUUGUCAACCACUUUGUUUUAUGGCUAUUGAAAUUGUUGUAUAACUUAAUCUGGUCCCUUGAAUUGAUUCUGUUGUGGACCUAUUUUAUGUGUAAUUUAAUAAUUUUAUAGAAUUUGAGUUUGAUUCAUUUCUAUCUGUUUAAAAGAUUCAGUUUUUGGAAAUUCUGAGAAUUGAGGUUUUAUAUAUUAA